RNAcentral lists this long non-coding RNA (361 nucleotides) under Hordeum vulgare. Its description in RNAcentral is "long non-coding RNA (HVUL_LNC009924)". The record is from RNAcentral. Lineage: Eukaryota; Viridiplantae; Streptophyta; Magnoliopsida; Poales; Poaceae.
AGUAGAGAAAAUAACCUGGCAACUAGUUAUGUUACACAUUGAAGAUUUUUUGAAACAUGGCAAUACUGAGAUUCCACUUAUGUGAUUAAAAGCAUAACAUCUAACAUACAUUUUCUACUUUUGUCUCCUCGAAGAUGGAAAAUAAAUCAGCCUUAUGAACAAAAGCUAUGAAGGUUUUCUACAUAUGUGACAUGUCAUGGCAAAUCAUGUCAACCAGUUUCUGAAGCUUUUAUUUGUGCCAACUAAGUAAGGAAAACAUUGGAGAUUUUUGUGUGCCAUAUUGAUGCCCAUGUAGUAAGCAAAACCACAGAUCUUUUCGUUUCUUGUCCAAGAACAUAUGUUGCAAGAGAGAUGUGGUACA